CAGUAGCCGCGGUAAGACAGAGGAUGCAAGCGUUAUCCGGAAUGAUUGGGCGUAAAGCGUGCGCAGGCGGUUAUAUAAGACAGAUGUGAAAUCCCCGGGCUCAACCUGGGAACUGCAUUUGUGACUGUAUAGCUAGAGUACGGCAGAGGGGGAUGGAAUUCCGCGUGUAGCAGUGAAAUGCGUAGAUAUGCGGAGGAACACCGAUGGCGAAGGCAAUCCCCUGGGCCUGUACUGACGCUCAUGCACGAAAGCGUGGGGAGCAAACAGGAUUAGAUACCCGCGUAGUCCCUGUCUCUUAUAC
Molecule: ribosomal RNA, 301 nt
Filed under: uncultured bacterium
Lineage: Bacteria
Description: partial 16S ribosomal RNA
Rfam family: Bacterial small subunit ribosomal RNA
Source: RNAcentral